This 505-nucleotide ribosomal RNA is filed under the name uncultured bacterium. Its description in RNAcentral is "bacterial SSU rRNA". It matches the Rfam family "Bacterial small subunit ribosomal RNA", at positions 19 to 518 of the family's 1533-position model. The record is from RNAcentral.
AUGGCUCAGGAUGAACGCUAGCUACAGGCUUAACACAUGCAAGUCGAGGGCAGCAUGGUGUGCUGCAACAACCGAUGGCGACCGGCGCACGGGUGAGUAACGCGUAUCCAACCUGGCCCUUAGUAGGGGAUAGCCCGGCGAAAGUCGGAUUAAUACCCUAUGUUUUCCGUUGCGGACAUCUAAGAUGGAACAAAGGCUUGCCGCUAAGGGAUGGGGAUGCGUCUGAUUAGAUGGUAGGCGGGGUAACGGCCCACCUAGUCGACGAUCAGUAGGGGUUCUGAGAGGAAGGUCCCCCACAUUGGAACUGAGACACGGUCCAAACUCCUACGGGAGGCAGCAGUGAGGAAUAUUGGUCAAUGGUCGAGAGACUGAACCAGCCAAAGUAGCGUGCAGGAAGACGGCCCUAUGGGUUGUAACUGUCUUUUAUGCGGGGAUAAGUUGGGGACGUGUCCCUUUUGUAGGUACCGCAUGAAUAAGGACCGGCUAAUUCCGUGCCAGCCGCUGC